UGAUUUGCAUCUCCUUGCCUAGUUUUAAAAUUAGUCUAUAAUGGGAAUUGUCUAAUAAACAAUUCCCAUUAUAGACUAAUUUUAAAACUAGGCAAGGAGAUGCAAAUAAAUC
Non-coding RNA from Paramuricea clavata, 112 nucleotides. The record is from the annotation of a GenBank genome assembly. Lineage: Eukaryota; Metazoa; Cnidaria; Anthozoa; Malacalcyonacea; Plexauridae.